UGGGGAAUCUUAGACAAUGGGCGCAAGCCUGAUCUAGCCAUGCCGCGUGUGUGAUGAAGGUCUUAGGAUCGUAAAGCACUUUCGCCAGGGAUGAUAAUGACAGUACCUGGUAAAGAAACCCCGGCUAACUCCGUGCCAGCAGCCGCGGUAAUACGGAGGGGGUUAGCGUUGUUCGGAAUUACUGGGCGUAAAGCGUACGUAGGCGGAUUGGAAAGUUGGGGGUGAAAUCCCAGGGCUCAACCCUGGAACUGCCUCCAAAACUAUCAGUCUAGAGUUCGAGAGAGGUGAGUGGAAUUCCAAGUGUAGAGGUGAAAUUCGUAGAUAUUUGGAGGAACACCAGUGGCGAAGGCGGCUCACUGGCUCGAUACUGACGCUGAGGUACGAAAGUGUGGGGAGCAAACAGGAUUAGAUACCCUGGUAGUCCACACCGUAAACGAUGAAUGCCAGUCGUCGGGCAGUAUACUGUUCGGUGACACACCUAACGGAUUAAGCAUUCCGCCUGGGGAGUACGGUCGCAAGAUUA
Molecule: ribosomal RNA, 523 nt
Filed under: uncultured marine alpha proteobacterium AY-51
Lineage: Bacteria; Pseudomonadati; Pseudomonadota; Alphaproteobacteria; Rhodobacterales; Paracoccaceae
Description: bacterial SSU rRNA
Rfam family: Bacterial small subunit ribosomal RNA
Source: RNAcentral